RNAcentral lists this transfer RNA (74 nucleotides) under Podarcis lilfordi (Lilford's wall lizard). RNAcentral describes it as "tRNA.Ile". The stretch from base 8 to 66 matches the Rfam family "tRNA", at positions 8 to 63 of the family's 71-position model. Rfam says of the family: Transfer RNA (tRNA) molecules are approximately 80 nucleotides in length. Their secondary structure includes four short double-helical elements and three loops (D, anti-codon, and T loops). The record is from RNAcentral. Lineage: Eukaryota; Metazoa; Chordata; Lepidosauria; Squamata; Lacertidae.
ACCUGGAUAGCUCAGUUGGUUAGAGCAUGGUGGUGAUAACGCCAGGGUUGCAGGUUCGAUCCCUGUAUGGGACA